UCGCGGCUUAUCACCGGCAGUCCCCUUAGAGUGCCCAACUGAAUGAUGGCAACUAAGGGCGAGGGUUGCGCUCGUUGCGGGACUUAACCCAACAUCUCACGACACGAGCUGACGACAGCCAUGCAGCACCUGUGUUCCCGCCAGCCGAACUGAAGGGCUCCAUCUCUGGUGCCCAUACGGGACAUGUCAAAGGUUGGUAAGGUUUUUCGCGUUGCAUCGAAUUAAUCCACAUAAUCCACCGCUUGUGCGGGUCCCCGUCAAUUCUUUUGAGUUUCAACCUUGCGGCCGUACUUCCCAGGCGGAAUACUUAAUGCGUUAGCUGCGGCACCGGCGGUAACCCGCCGACACUUAGCACUCAUCGUUUACGGCGUGGACUAC
Molecule: unclassified non-coding RNA, 378 nt
Filed under: uncultured bacterium
Lineage: Bacteria
Description: contains 16S-23S intergenic spacer region
Source: RNAcentral